This is a non-coding RNA of Pleurotus ostreatoroseus, 94 nucleotides long. Lineage: Eukaryota; Fungi; Basidiomycota; Agaricomycetes; Agaricales; Pleurotaceae. The record is from the annotation of a GenBank genome assembly.
GGUGAGAUGGCCGAGCGGUCUAAGGCGCCAGACUAAGGUACAUGAUUAUCUAAUCUGGUCCGAAAGGGCGUGGGUUCGAAUCCCACUCUCAUCA